AGCUCGCGUAUAUUAAACUUGUUGCAGUUAAAAAGCUCGUAGUUGAAUUUUAGCGUGUUCGAGUUUGCCAUUCGUUUGGCUUUUUCGAGUUCGCUUUUGGGUUUUCCCUUUUUACUUUGAGAAAAUUAGAGUGUUUCAAGCAGACUUUUGUCUUGAAUACUUCAGCAUGGAAUAAUAGAGUAGGACUUUGGUUCUAUUUUGUUGGUUAUUGAACCUUAGUAAUGGUUAAUAGGAACGGUUGGGGGCAUUCGUAUUUAACUGUCAGAGGUGAAAUUCUUAGAUUUGUUAAAGACAAACUACUGCGAAAGA
RNAcentral lists this ribosomal RNA (309 nucleotides) under Babesia vogeli. Its description in RNAcentral is "SSU rRNA". It matches the Rfam family "Eukaryotic small subunit ribosomal RNA", at positions 592 to 952 of the family's 1831-position model. The record is from RNAcentral. Lineage: Eukaryota; Apicomplexa; Aconoidasida; Piroplasmida; Babesiidae.